GUCCUACUACCUCCGUCCGGAAAUACUUUUCAGAAGAAUGGAUGUAUCUAGAUGUAUUUUAGUUUUAGAUACAUCCAUUUGUAUUCAUUUCUACGACAAGUAUUUUCAGACGGAGGGAGUACAUG
Triticum aestivum (bread wheat) is the source of this 125-nucleotide non-coding RNA. The record is from Rfam. NCBI's taxonomy places the organism in Eukaryota, Viridiplantae, Streptophyta, Magnoliopsida, Poales, Poaceae.